Molecule: long non-coding RNA, 219 nt
Filed under: Hordeum vulgare
Lineage: Eukaryota; Viridiplantae; Streptophyta; Magnoliopsida; Poales; Poaceae
Description: long non-coding RNA (HVUL_LNC021059)
Source: RNAcentral
ACAACAAUGUCAGUAGCGACAACAACGACAACGACAACAACAGCAACAACAACAACAACAACACCAACACCAACAACACCAACACCAACACCACCACCAACAACAACAACCAGAACAACAACAACAACAACAACGACAACAGCGAUAACAACGACAACAACGACAUCAACGACAACAAUGACAAAACAACGAUAAUGACGAGAACAACGACAACAACAA